RNAcentral lists this ribosomal RNA (398 nucleotides) under uncultured bacterium. RNAcentral's name for it is "bacterial SSU rRNA". It matches the Rfam family "Bacterial small subunit ribosomal RNA", at positions 356 to 771 of the family's 1533-position model. The record is from RNAcentral.
GGGGAAUAUUGGACAAUGGGCGAAAGCCUGAUCCAGCAAUGCCGCGUGAACGAUGAAGGCCUUAGGGUUGUAAAGUUCUUUCACCGGGGAAGAUAAUGACGGUACCCGGAGAAGAAGCCCCGGCUAACUCCGUGCCAGCAGCCGCGGUAAUACGGAGGGGGCUAGCGUUGUUCGGGAUUACUGGGCGUAAAGCGCGCGUAGGCGGGCUGUUAAGUCGGGGGUGAAAUCCCGGGGCUCAACCCCGGAACUGCCUCCGAUACUGGCAGCCUAGAGGUCGAGAGAGGUGAGUGGAAUUCCGAGUGUAGAGGUGAAAUUCGUAGAUAUUCGGAGGAACACCAGUGGCGAGGGCGGCUCACUGGCUCGAUACUGACGCUGAGGUGCGAAAGCGUGGGGAGCAA